UACGAAGGGGGGUAGCGUUGUUCGGAAUUACUGGGCGUAAAGCGCACGUAGGCGGAUCAGUAAGUCAGGGGUGAAAUCCCGGGGCUCAACCUCAGAACUGCCUUUGAUACUGCUGAUCUCGAGUACGGAAGAGGUGGGUGGAAUUCCGAGUGUAGAGGUGAAAUUCGUAGAUAUUAGGAAGAGCACCAGUGGCGAAGGCGGCCAACUGGGCCGGUACUGACGCUGAGGUGCGAAAGCGUGGGGAGCAAACAGG
Molecule: ribosomal RNA, 253 nt
Filed under: uncultured bacterium
Lineage: Bacteria
Description: partial 16S ribosomal RNA
Rfam family: Bacterial small subunit ribosomal RNA
Source: RNAcentral